Armigeres subalbatus is the source of this 384-nucleotide long non-coding RNA. RefSeq lists it as uncharacterized. Lineage: Eukaryota; Metazoa; Arthropoda; Insecta; Diptera; Culicidae. The transcript is spliced from 3 exons. The record is from RefSeq and is a predicted model, not a curated record.
AAAAUAUUGAAACUGUAUAGAGCAGGAAGUGUCUUUUUAAUUACUGUUAGUGGUGCUGGGCAAACGGUGAUCGCUUCUGAAUCGAGAAAUGAAGCUUGAUGAAAUACUGCUGCUCGCUGCCUUCACUGAUUCAAGAUCGUUCAGCGGCUAUCAUUGGCCAAUCUUACCAACGGGAUGUAAUAAGAACUGAUGCAGGUUUAUAUCUAUAUGUAUGUGUUCAAGAUUAACUUCGAUCCACCCAUGCAAGGAAAAAUAAGUUAUAGGAGAUAAAUCAAAUUCCCUUCUCUUGUAGCAGUAGUUACGGCGUGGUUAGCGAAUAUAGCGGACUGCGUCAUUAUAACGUCAAUUAACAGCAAAGCGAGUUAAAAUAAAAGGAAAAAAAGU